GAUGAACGCUGGCGGCGUGCCUAAUACAUGCAAGUCGAGCGAACGGACGAGAAGCUUGCUUCUCUGAUGUUAGCGGCGGACGGGUGAGUAACACGUGGAUAACCUACCUAUAAGACUGGGAUAACUUCGGGAAACCGGAGCUAAUACCGGAUAAUAUUUUGAACCGCAUGGUUCAAAAGUGAAAGACGGUCUUGCUGUCACUUAUAGAUGGAUCCGCGCUGCAUUAGCUAGUUGGUAAGGUAACGGCUUACCAAGGCAACGAUGCAUAGCCGACCUGAGAGGGUGAUCGGCCACACUGGAACUGAGACACGGUCCAGACUCCUACGGGAGGCAGCAGUAGGGAAUCUUCCGCAAUGGGCGAAAGCCUGACGGAGCAACGCCGCGUGAGUGAUGAAGGUCUUCGGAUCGUAAAACUCUGUUAUUAGGAAAGAACAUAUGUGUAAGUAACUGUGCACAUCUUGACGGUACCUAAUCAGAAAGCCACGGCUAACUACGUGCCAGCAGCCGCGGUAAUACGUAGGUGGCAAGCGUUAUCCGGAAUUAUUGGGCGUAAAGCGCGCGUAGGCGGUUUUUUAAGUCUGAUGUGAAAGCCCACGGCUCAACCGUGGAGGGUCAUUGGAAACUGGAAAACUUGAGUGCAGAAGAGGAAAGUGGAAUUCCAUGUGUAGCGGUGAAAUGCGCAGAGAUAUGGAGGAACACCAGUGGCGAAGGCGACUUUCUGGUCUGUAACUGACGCUGAUGUGCGAAAGCGUGGGGAUCAAACAGGAUUAGAUACCCUGGUAGUCCACGCCGUAAACGAUGGGUGCUAAGUGUUAGGGGGUUUCCGCCCCUUAGUGCUGCAGCUAACGCAUUAAGCACUCCGCCUGGGGAGUACGACCGCAAGGUUGGAACUCAAAGGAAUUGACGGGGACCCGCACAAGCGGUGGAGCAUGUGGUUUAAUUCGAAGCAACGCGAAGAACCUUACCAAAUCUUGACAUCCUUUGACAACUCUAGAGAUAGAGCCUUCCCCUUCGGGGGACAAGGUGACAGGUGGUGCAUGGUUGUCGUCAGCUCGUGUCGUGAGAUGUUGGGUUAAGUCCCGCAACGAGCGCAACCCUUAAGCUUAGUUGCCAUCAUUAAGUUGGGCACUCUAAGUUGACUGCCGGUGACAAACCGGAGGAAGGUGGGGAUGACGUCAAAUCAUCAUGCCCCUUAUGAUUUGGGCUACACACGUGCUACAAUGGACAAUACAAAGGGCAGCGAAACCGCGAGGUCAAGCAAAUCCCAUAAAGUUGUUCUCAGUUCGGAUUGUAGUCUGCAACUCGACUACAUGAAGCUGGAAUCGCUAGUAAUCGUAGAUCAGCAUGCUACGGUGAAUACGUUCCCGGGUCU
RNAcentral lists this ribosomal RNA (1372 nucleotides) under uncultured bacterium. RNAcentral's name for it is "bacterial SSU rRNA". It matches the Rfam family "Bacterial small subunit ribosomal RNA", at positions 28 to 1381 of the family's 1533-position model. The record is from RNAcentral.